RNAcentral lists this ribosomal RNA (466 nucleotides) under uncultured bacterium. Its description in RNAcentral is "partial 16S ribosomal RNA". It matches the Rfam family "Bacterial small subunit ribosomal RNA", at positions 28 to 507 of the family's 1533-position model. The record is from RNAcentral.
GAUGAACGCUGGCGGCGUGCUUAACACAUGCAAGUCGAACGGAAAGGCUCCUGCUUGCAGGGGUACUCGAGUGGCGAACGGGUGAGUAACACGUGGGUGAUCUGCCCUGCACUUCGGGAUAAGCCUGGGAAACUGGGUCUAAUACCGGAUAGGACGAUGGUUUGGAUGCCAUUGUGGAAAGUUUUUUCGGUGUGGGAUGAGCUCGCGGCCUAUCAGCUUGUUGGUGGGGUAAUGGCCUACCAAGGCGUCGACGGGUAGCCGGCCUGAGAGGGUGUACGGCCACAUUGGGACUGAGAUACGGCCCAGACUCCUACGGGAGGCAGCAGUGGGGAAUAUUGCAAAAUGGGCGAAAGCCUGAUGCAGCGACGCCGCGUGGGGGAUGACGGCCUUCGGGUUGUAAACUCCUUUCGCUAGGGAAGAAGCGCAAGUGACGGUACCUGGAGAAGAAGCACCGGCUAACUACGUG